CCUGAUAGCUUAGUUGGUAAAGAAUCUGCCUGCAAUGCAGAAGACCCUGGUUUGAUUCCUGGGUCAGGA
Molecule: transfer RNA, 69 nt
Filed under: Ovis aries (sheep)
Lineage: Eukaryota; Metazoa; Chordata; Mammalia; Artiodactyla; Bovidae
Rfam family: tRNA
About the family: Transfer RNA (tRNA) molecules are approximately 80 nucleotides in length.
Source: Rfam by way of RNAcentral